CCUACGGGAGGCAGCAGUGAGGAAUAUUGGUCAAUGGACGAGAGUCUGAACCAGCCAAGUAGCGUGAAGGAUGACUGCCCUAUGGGUUGUAAACUUCUUUUAUAUGGGAAUAAAAUGUUCCACGUGUGGGAUUUUGUAUGUACCAUAUGAAUAAGGAUCGGCUAACUCCGUGCCAGCAGCCGCGGUAAUACGGAGGAUCCGAGCGUUAUCCGGAUUUAUUGGGUUUAAAGGGAGCGUAGGUGGAUUGUUAAGUCAGUUGUGAAAGUUUGCGGCUCAACCGUAAAAGUGCCGUUGAAACUGGCAGUCUUGAGUACAGUAGAGGUGGGCGGAAUUCGUGGUGUAGCGGUGAAAUGCUUAGAUAUCACGAAGAACUCCGAUUGCGAAGGCAGUUCACUGGACUGCAACUGACACUGAGGCUCGAAAGUGUGGGUAUCAAACAGGAUUAGAUACCCGAGUAGUC
Molecule: ribosomal RNA, 460 nt
Filed under: uncultured bacterium
Lineage: Bacteria
Description: partial 16S ribosomal RNA
Rfam family: Bacterial small subunit ribosomal RNA
Source: RNAcentral